RNA transcript from Chelonoidis abingdonii (Abingdon island giant tortoise), 2630 nucleotides. It is a transcript of the gene named ribokinase, with no coding region annotated. The record is from RefSeq and is a predicted model, not a curated record. NCBI's taxonomy places the organism in Eukaryota, Metazoa, Chordata, Testudines, Testudinidae.
UCCCUGCGCCUCUCGGGCUAUGGCAGCUGCUGGCCCGGCUGAGGUGGUGGUGGUGGGAUCCUGUAUGACCGACCUGGUCAGUUGCUGGUCAAGAAAGUAUAAAAUAUAUGGCUCAGAAGAAUAUGGAAUGUGCAAAACAUAGACACAGACACCCAUUCCAGAAUUCAUGAAAAACUGUCCACGGGUUUUGUGUCAGGAAGAUUAAGUAUUUUGUGUAAUUUGUAGAAAGCAUCAGACGCUUUCUGAGAAAGAUACCCCUGCUUAUAAGAGGACUAAGACCUUUUAGAAUUGAUCCUUACGUGUACAUGAAUUCUCCAGCAGAUUUUAAAGUACUGAAAUAGAAAACGUGGCCCUUUAUCCACAAAAAGUUCCUGUUAUUAGUUUGUUCUGUAAAAUGCAAUACCAGGAGAUGCCAAAGUUUGUCACAUAUAUAACACAACUGUCACAAUUGUUAAAUGUAGUUACAGUCUUAGGCCCUGUCGUGAUUGGAAAAAAGAGUGUGUGUUUCAACUGUAUUAGUUUAAUGUGAUUAAAGCUUGGACCUUGUUAAAACACACAGGAUAACACAUUUGAAGUCAUGUUAGCUGAACCUUUUAUAGCUAAUGGGUUAAAACAUAUUAACCUUCACAUUAAUAGGCAUUGGAGGGCUUUUUCACUUGUGUUAAACUAACUUGAUUUAACUAAUAUGAUUUGGAAAAACCUAUCCAUUUUGGUCUUCGGUACACCGGGCCUUGGGCCUUAUAUGUAAACUAGCGUUUUAAAAAAAAAAAAAUAUGGAAGGCUGCAAUAAAGGUAGCUCAGUUGAGCUAGCUUAACUUGUUUGAAACUCCACCUGAACUGUGUCUACAGUGGGGGCAAGUGGGGUUUUCAAUUGAGUUUGUAAGCCGACUUGAUUGAAAAAGCACUCCUUUUCUAAGUCUCUGCGAUUUUGAAAUGCUCUACAUUUGCAGGCCAAAAAUUACUUUAAUCUUGUAUCAAAUUACAUUAAUACCCAUGCUGAGGAAGACUUUAUAUGGGCAAUUUCAAAAUCUCUGAGGGAGGUGUCUCAAAAAUGCAUACAGAAAGGAAGAUGUAUUACUGUGCUUGCUUAUGGAUCCAGUGAUGAAUUUGUAUCUGAGCUAAAUCAGCGUGCAUCAGAUUUGUGGAAGAUAGGAAACCUUGUACUCUCUUUUCUAGUGUACCAUUUGGAAAUAAAAACAGCAUCAGGGAAAGCUGGUGUUAUCAUGUAGGGAAUAAUAGCUUUGUGAAAGUUGUGGAUAUCAAAUCAAAACCUGUUAGAUUUUGUGUAAACAGGGAAAUGAACUGGAAUAGCUAUUCUGAAAUAUUUAAUCUGGAAUACUAUUCCUGAUUCACUCCCCAUUUGGAUGCUCUUAUUCUGGAGUGAAUGAGGAAUAGUAUUCCUGAUUAAAUUCACAACCUAUUUUAUUCUAGAAUAAUUUUCUGCAUAGACAAGCCCUCAGUUUGAAUUUAGAUAGCAAAAUAGUACAUAGUGCUAGUCAUGCUUAAACAAGAUGCUAGUGUUGUGGUUGAUGCCAUGCAAAGCCGCAACCUGUGCUUUAUAUUCUAGAUCUUCUAUAUUAAAAAAUCCUAUCUUGGAAAAUUAGAAUUUGUGUUGAAAGACAUUUAAGUCUCUGUGACUCUGGCAACCCAGCUGGCCUGUGUCUGACCCAUAAUCACUUAACAAGAGGCAUUACAAUUGUAUCAGGACAAUUCAGUUGUAUGUAAAUUUCAAAGAGAUGUACUAGACAGUAAUCGUUAAUCGAUUCAUUUGUAGCAAUAGAAACUAAGGAUAAAUACUAAGUGUAUUAUUCUUUGUUUACGUGUAUACUAUUAGACAUUUAACAAUAACCAAAUUAGCUUGUAGAUGCUAAUUUCUGUUCGUCUUAAUUGCCUUUAUAUUAUGUAUGCAACUGUUUUCAGUCAACCUUAAGAUCAAAGAUGUAAGAAGCUGUGUGAAAUUAACAAUAUUGCAUAUAUUGUCUUCAGUUUAUCUAUCCACGAUACAAUGUAUAACUGGCAGUUGCCUUAUGUUAGUAAGUGUAACUCGAUUACCUGUGUAUGCAUAAUAAAUAGAAUCAGCAAAAAGUCCCGUGGCACCUUAUAGACUAACAGACGUAUUGGAGCAUGAGCUUUUGAAAGGACUCUGCUGCUUUUACAGAUCCAGACUAACACGGCUACCCCUCUGAUACUUAAUAAAUAGAAUAUUAACUUCAAAGUGAUGGAACAGUGUGUGCUCAACAAAGAAGAAUCCUCAGUCACAUGCUGUUCUCAAAACACUGACUAGCCCGCUUCAGCUAUAAAAGUGAAAUCUGGGGCCUGAUCCUUUCCUCUCUAGUCUGCUGAACUUUAAACAGGGAAAGUUUAACCUAUGGGAUUGAGAUCUUCCAAGUAGUUUUUUGGAAUACCUGGGAAAAUGUAUGGGAAGACUCUCUAUCAGACUUUACAUGUAACCAGCAUUUGGAUUCUGACCUUUUGAGAUGGUUCCAGAGAGACUUAUACAAGCCAGCAGAUAUAACAUCACUGCUAUGAUCCUGAUCUAAGAACACUGAAAAUCACUUGUAUGUAUAUCAUUCCUUAACCAUUUAAUAAUUCUCUUAUUUUCUCUUAUUAAUAAAUCUUUAGUUAGUUCG